RNAcentral lists this long non-coding RNA (1456 nucleotides) under Homo sapiens (human). Its description in RNAcentral is "non-protein coding lnc-HBEGF-2:9". The record is from RNAcentral. Lineage: Eukaryota; Metazoa; Chordata; Mammalia; Primates; Hominidae.
GCCCUCAUCUGAGGUGACGGGAAAGGGCCGGGAAAUUUCCACUUCUGAAUAAAAUGACUGCUGAAGUGAUGACCCGCAAGAAUUGGUCAAAUUUGGAGUAGACUUCACCCUGCGCUUGGUGAAACUUCUACGUCAAGGAUGCAAGAGGCGCCGAAGUAACGCAGCUCCCACCUGUCGCUCUCCGCUGGGCGCCGAGACUAUGGCCGGAGAAUAGCUGCACCGGGAUUGGAGAAAGGAAGCCAUCAGUCUUAGGAAGGCUCCACCUUCCUGCCAUUGCCUGGUUGGAGGAGCGUAGCGUCAGUCACUAGAGCAGUCACCACCUCUGGGACAGGUGAAGAUGUGUAACCUAUUUGCCGGGGGCUAUUUGGGAGGGAAUAGAGGACGGGGAGCGAUGAGGGGACAGUCGAGGGGCAAGGCCGAUCUCGCUUCGCGCCUCCCGCCUUUCUGAGUUGAGCCUAGCGCGCGGGUCUGAGGGACAUCCGGGGAGCUGCUUGGGAUGGCCGCCUUGGGGAGACUCGACCCGCCCGCCAGGACCCGGCCGCGCGCCGCAGUUCGGGCGCCUUCGGGCAGGAUCGCCCAGCGGGGCCGCGUUCUCCUGCUUGCGGACGGCUGCGGGCCUGAGGGCUGGACAGCGCCAUGCCUCAGUACCGGGAACUGUCCCACGUAGGAAGGUGGGAAUGCCGCGAACGGCGUGCGGAAUCCGACCUCAAGGUGGAACGGGGUGGUGAAGAGUGCAUGCUCCGAGGCAGUUUCGAGUUCUGGUGCUGCCACUUACUUGCUGCCUGACUUCGGCGCGUUUGCUGUUUCAUUUUUGUGACUUUCAACUCGCUCCUCUGUGAAAUGGGAGUAAUAUUAGUACCUUCCUCAUUGGGUUGUUGUUAUGAAUAAAUUAGAUGAUAAUAUAGCGCUUAGCAAAGUCCCAAACUUACAGGAAAGACUCAUUUUUGCUAGUUAUUGUCUCCUCUUCCUUCAGGAACUCUCUGCUCGCCCCUGGGUCCUGCCAGCCCAACUAAUUCUAGUUCUAAUCAGAUCUGUGUGGUGCAAAACAAGGCUAGCUGUGGUGGUCUUCCCUCCUCUAAGGAGAUCUCUUCCUCCCUAUAUGCAUCUCUCUAUCUCUGUCUUUAUCUUGUCAGUAAAGAGGGGGGUUAAAAAUAUUCAGAUUCUAUAGCGGGCGCCGUGGCUCACGCCUGUAAUCCCAACACUAUGGGAUGUUGAGGCGGGCGGAUCAUUUGAACCCAGUAGUUCGAGCCCAGCCUAGGCAACAUGGUGAAAUCCCGUCUUUACCAAAAAUACAAAAAUUGGGCUCGGCGCGGUGACUCACGCCUGUUAAUCCCAGCACUUUGGGAGGCCUAGGUGGGCGGAUCAUUUGAGGUUAGGAGUUCUAGACCAGCCUGGCCAACAUGGCGAAACCCCGUCUAUACUAAAAAUACAAAAAUUAGCCAGAUGUGAUGGUGCG